AGGACGAACGCUGGCGGCGCGCUUAACACAUGCAAGUCGAACGGGGCUCUUCGGAGUUCAGUGGCGAACGGGUGCGUAACACGUGAGUGACCUGCCCUGGUACGGGGGAUAACCCGGGGAAACCCGGGCUAAUACCGCAUGCGCUCUCUGGGCUUCCGGGCCUGGGGGAGGAAAAGUGCUUUCGGGCACUGUGCGAGGAGGGGCUCGCGGCGUAUCAGGUAGUUGGUGAGGUAACAGCUCACCAAGCCGAUGACGCGUAGGGGGUCUGAGAGGAUGGCCCCCCACAUUGGACUGAGAUACGGCCCAGACUCCUACGGGAGGCAGCAGUGGGGAAUCUUGCGCAAUGGACCGAAAGGCUGACGCAGCGACGCCGCGUGCGGGAUGACGCUUUCGGAGUGUAAACCGCUGGUCGGGUGGAAGAACGGUCCCGGGAGGAAAUGACCCGUGGGAUGACGGACCGACCAAAGGAGCACGGACUAACGUCGACGCCAGCACGCCGAC
RNAcentral lists this ribosomal RNA (501 nucleotides) under uncultured soil bacterium. RNAcentral's name for it is "bacterial SSU rRNA". It matches the Rfam family "Bacterial small subunit ribosomal RNA", at positions 26 to 522 of the family's 1533-position model. The record is from RNAcentral.